RNAcentral lists this unclassified non-coding RNA (5454 nucleotides) under Anthonomus grandis grandis. RNAcentral describes it as "uncharacterized LOC126750574". The record is from RNAcentral. Lineage: Eukaryota; Metazoa; Arthropoda; Insecta; Coleoptera; Curculionidae.
AACUUAAUUUUUUUUAAUAGAAACUCUCACUUUUUAAUUUUGUAUAAAAUUUUAAGUAUAUUUUGUAUACCAUGUCCUAUACCUAACCUCAAUAUUUAUUAAGAAAUUUGCGAUUAUUUUUUUUUUAAAUUUGUUAAAUAUAUAAAAAAAAUUAUAAAUUAAUAAUACUUUAAUUUAUAAUUUAUCUAAUACUUUAUCUUAUUUACCUGAAUUAAACGAAAUUUGAAUGGACGGAUGGGUAAUAACAGGAAGGAAAAAAGGAGAGUAAAGGUAUACAAGUGAACCAAUGGAAGGAGGGAGACUUACUAUAGACUAUAGAGGUGACGGCUCAGAGGAUCUUCUCAAAGGGAAGCCACUUUGGUAGAGUGGCGUGGAUUCCACAAGGGUGUUCAAUAAAAUAUAAGCGCCACCUGUUUUAUUCCAGAUGGAUAAGAAAAUCCCGAUGACCAAGAAAACAGGAAAUUACUAAAAGCACUAUACCUAUAAACCUGAAGGAAAAUCUCACAAGGAAGAACAGACAGGGAGAUAUAUAAAUACAAUUAAUUAAAUUGACCCUUAAUAUUACGUACAAGUGUUAUGGUGUAAUUAAUAAAUUAACAAUAAAAUAAAUAUUAACACUUUACUUUGGCUAUUAAAUUAUAUGCUAUUAAAUUACAGCUUUGAGAGAGCACCUUAAAACUCAUGGGCUCAGACCAAAAGUCCCUUGUCUAACUUAGAAAGUUAGGUUAUCUUUCAAAAAUCAAAAUAAACAUAAAAGAAAAGCUUUAGUUCUGAGAUACAUUCAAGUAAAUCUAUAUUAAAAGAAAAGUUAAUAAUCAAACUUAUUACUUUAAAAACAAGUUAUGUUGCCCUUCCUGAAUAUAGUGUCUAUAUCAAGGGUAAAAUCUCAUAUUCUGUUGUUUGGGGCUAAAAGUUCGCGUGAGUACUUUCGAAAUAGCCUAUUUAUCCAGUUUACAAGGAGAUCUAUACAGUCUAUUUCAAUAAAAUUACUAAUAUGCACCUAGUUAUUAUGAAACUAUUCAAAACAACAGUGUAGUAGUGAAAUCUAAUAAUGAGAGUGAUAACAAUGUAAUUUUGAGGUUAGUAUUUAGUAUAAUAUACUACAGUAAAGCUAAUGUUGAUAAGACUUAGGUUUACUGGUUAGGUGGUUUACUGACUGCAUGGUUCACUAUACAUCACAAACAUUGAUCAAACCUGGCUCCAAAAAGGCUGCAUGAUUGAGAUGGAGGACCUGGGUGGAUCGGUUUAACAGUGAAUGUCAAUGUAGUUGUUGUGGAGAUUUCUACCUCUUAUAAUAGUGGAUAAAAACCAUACCGGGGAGAAAAAAAAGCCUGAAAGUGGAAGAAUACCCAGAUUGAGGAAUCGCCAAUAGAGUAAGUAGAUAUAAGCAUUGAUGGUUAAACUUAACGGUAUGCUUGAGUCUACUUAUAUAAAAUUACAUGUGUAAUAUGUAGAGUAUCAUAAACCAAGAUGCCAAAUGAAAAUAUUAGGACUUACCAAAGGAAUUGGCCUUUUCUCGGGAACACAAAAAUGGACACUUAAACAAAAAACCUUGAAAAAGUUGGGAUUUAACUACACCACUUAUAAUCCUGCACUAUUGCAGUAUGGCAUUUAGUAUCCACAAACUAAAAUACCCAAAAGGCGAGUUUUCAAAUUUUCAUUGCAGUAAAACCUUCAAAAAUACCAAGAAACAACCUUCUUCAAAGGCUUGUUCUUCAAGGCUCCUAAAGGUCAAAGAUUUUCGCGCCAGAAAUGGUUUUAGUAGAGAUAUAGGAGAAUGAGCUGGGAUCUUAUUGGCUAGGAUAUGACUUCUGACAUUAGUAAAAUCAAAACAAUUAAAAAAAAUUAAUAUUAUGAUUAAUAAUUUGAGUUUUAUCAUAAGGGUUUAAAAUUAUUGAUAUCAAAAAUAGAAUUAAUACUGAAAUGAUAACUGUUUAUUUUAUUAACUUUAGCACCAGAAUAACUUAAAAAUUGCCUCUUAAAGUUCUAUAAUCCAGCUAUGCUUUCGCUAACAUUUUGGAUUCAUUCUAUUUUCUUAUUCUUUAUGUAUCUGGAGAAAAUAAACUGUAGCAAAUUUAAUCGCAAUAAUUUUUUUUAAAAAGCGAUUAAGUUUAAAAAAAAACAAAAAAAAUUAAAAUAAAUAUUCAACUUCUUGACCAUUAACUUCCUGACAGUAACCAAGUCGAUAUUCAAAUUCUUGUAAUACUUUUUGAUACUUGUUUCAGGCCGGAUUUGUUGUAUUUCGGCUCUAAUUCUAUUUUUUAAAUCUUCUAAACUUUCAGGUGUAUCAAAAUAGUAUCUAAUCUAAUAAAACUUUAAAUUUUAUAUAACCCCUAUAAAAAUCCAAUGGGGUAAUGUGCCAACCUUGCUGAACAUUCAAUAAAACCCCCUUCCAAUCCACAUAUUUGGGAAAAUGUUGGUAAGGUAAUCUCGUACUGUUCGCGAAUAGUGUGUGAGGGCGCCAUUCUGUUGGAACCAUAUCGAAUCUGCCGGUAUAAAUGGGUUUUCACCAUUUGAAUAAAGUGCAAUUAAACUAGGUACUAUCUGAUUUUGAAGCAACUCUAAAUAUUUUUCAGAGGUAAGUGCGGCCUCAAUAAAAUAGGGACCCACAAUUGACGUGCCCACAAUUCCUGUCCAUACGUUUAAUUUCUUAGGAAAUUGUGUGUGACUUUCCAUACUCGAGUGUGGAUUUUCUGGUGCCCAAUAACGAAAAUUUUUCUUAUUUACAGAACCAUUCAAAAAAAAACUUGCCUCGUCGGAAAAACAAUCCUACUUAAAAACUGUGGGUUUGCAUUAUAUUUAUUUAUCAUUAUUUCGCAAAACUCUAUUCUGCGGAUGUGAUCAUUUUCAAUAAACUUCUGAAUUAAAUGAAUUUUAUAUGGAUGCCAUUUAUUCCUAUGUAAAUAUUUUAGAACACAUGAUUUACUAACAGACUGAUCUGCAACAACUUGUCGAGUUGAUUUAUGUGGUUUUUCUUGUAAAUCGAGCAAAACAUCUAAUUGUCUGUUUUCUGGAAGCGUGGGACGGUCUAGGUCAUAUUUGUCUCUAACAUGACCAAAAUCUCUAAACUUUUUUUAAUUUUGCUUACUACCAAACGUCUAAUAGGCCUCUCCGAGUACUUAUUGUUAAACAGAUCGCAAACUUCGGCCUGUGUUCGAGUCUUGUCGCCACCAUCAUCCUAAUAACAUACCCUACCAUAAAUCAACAUAUCCUACCAUCAUCAAAAUUUCAAUUCUGUUUUUCAGUUAAACGCGCCAUACUUUUAAACUUUGCAACUGUAAUUUACGUAAAGUAACACAUACUGUUUCCAUGCGAUUAAAUGGUGACAAGGUGUCAACGAGCAAAUAUACCUGUUAAAAAACUAUAAAAAAACAUGUUUGAAUAUGCUCAAAUGAUCCAAACAGUUGCAAAUUUAUUAAUAAUGUUAGUAUUAUUAGGUAUAACACAUAGUAUACAAAAUAUACUUAAAAUUCUAUGCAGAAUUCAAAAAUGGAAUAAAAAAUAGAUGUUUCCAUUUAAAAAAUUGAAGUUGAUGGUCGUUGCUUAUUUUUGGUUCACCCUGUAUAUAUAAAUUCAUCAUCAAAAAAGUCGCAAAAAAAAAUGAAAAUCGACUUGUCUGAGCGUUUUUUUUUCGAACACAGCUCUGAAUUUUAAAUGAAUUUGUUCUAACUUGCGCGUCCUCACCGUAUAAAGGCUGUUAUCUAUCCGGUUAUCUAUUUUCUUGAUUACAUUCUCUGAUCAAUUGAAACAAACUAUUAUUACUCACUCCAAUCUUCAAAUCAGGUAAUAAGAACUCAUUAGAAAACUAAAGAUUAAUAAGUAUGCUUAAUUCAGUUGCUAACAUUUUUGAGAAUAUAUUUUAUAUUCAAUGCUUUUACUAAAUACUACUUUAUGCUAAAUGAAAUUACAACAAAUUUGUUAAAAAACAACAUGGAUUUUUACCCGUUCUGUCAACAGUUACCAAUUUGAUAAACAGCAGCUUAAUAUUAUUAUGACAGACUAUGCGAAAGCUUGUGAUAAGGUGAAUUUCAGUUAAUAUUAAAAUUAGGAUAAGGCAUGUUGACCCCAAUCACAUUAUUUUGAAGUAAGUAAUCAACUGUUGUUCUAUGUUCCAUUACUUUCGGGACACCCUGUAUAAUUUUUUAAAAACUACCUGUGUUUCGCUCCAAUCGAGCAUAACAUCAUCAGACCUGAAAAUAACUUUAAAAUGUUACAAAAAGAGCGCUUAUAAAAUAUGAUAAAACUUUUUAUCUAGACCUACACCUACACAGAUCACAUUACAACUAACAACAAAUCAAAAGCUAGGUUAGCAAACAAUAUUAGGAUACAUUAAUUUCCGCACCCACGCGGGCCUAUGAAAUCACGGAUCGCUUUCGGAUUUUGUCUUUGUCAGUCGGCAUCGUCGAAAUAAUCGGCGGGACUGUUGAUGUGGUUUGCUAACCUCACUUUCAAUUUUCAGCUUUGAGUUUUUGAAACGUUUUGUUGUUUAUUUACAAUUUGUGCAACCAAGAGUAAUUAUUAUUACUUACAUUAUCUUGUUUCCUUGUAAAUUCAAAACACCACUGUAUAUUUACAUUAAUUUACUACACCUUUAUUCGGUGAACAUGGAUAUAAACAGGAAUUUGGCAGAGUUUGAAAUUUGGAGGUCUGCAGAAAACAGAGAGGUAGAUUAUGCUGUUCAUCGAAGAAAGAAAUGUGCUAAUAAGGAAGAAUUUAUUUACUAUAAUUGUAAUAGAAGUGAUUCAAAAGGAUAUGUCAGUACAUGUUUGCAACGGAAUUUAAAGUCUAAAGGAAGCAUUGGUAUGCAAGGAAUUUGUCCAUCAAGAAUAAUAGUUAAAAUUCUAGUAGAUGGAGUGAUUAGAGUAAGAUUUUUUGAAACCCACGUAGGACACCCUGACGAAUUAAGAAGCAAAAGGCUAACAAAAUCGGAACAGGAGAUAAUUGUGGAUAAAUUAGCAACAGGAGUUUCAAAUAAGAGAAUUAUUCAGGAGGCCAGAAGCAUAGACGGCAAUAAACUACAAAGGAAAAAUUGUAUAACAAGAGAAGAUUUACAGUACCUAAUACGAAAAUUUAAUAUUGACAAGUAAAGGGACAGUGAUGUCAGUGAAAAAAUCAUGGAUGUUUAUUUAAACAGAUAGGAGAAACUUAUCCAGGAUUAGAAGAAGAUGAUUUUGCAGUUGAAUAUAUGAAUGCUAUUAUCGAAAAAAAAAUAAGAGAUUUUCCAAAAAUAAUCUGUAUAGAUGGAACUCAUGGAACAAAUAGGAGAAACUGGGACUUGACAAUUGUGUUAAUAAGAGAUGAACAAAAUAUAGGUUUUCCAGUGGCAUUCUUACUAAUUAACAGAUCAGAUCAAUUAAUUCAAGAAGUUUGUUUAGGGCACUUAAAACUAGAUUAGGGGAAGCAGUUCAAGCUGAAUAUACAGGGUGUCAUUGAAAUGGUGUAAAAAAAUUCGGG